RNAcentral lists this ribosomal RNA (255 nucleotides) under uncultured bacterium. RNAcentral's name for it is "partial 16S ribosomal RNA". It matches the Rfam family "Bacterial small subunit ribosomal RNA", at positions 524 to 777 of the family's 1533-position model. The record is from RNAcentral.
UACGGAGGGUGCAAGCGUUAUCCGGAUUCACUGGGUUUAAAGGGUGCGUAGGUGGGUUGGUAAGUCAGUGGUGAAAUCUCCUGGCUUAACCUGGAAACUGCCAUUGAUACUAUCAAUCUUGAAUACCUUGGAGGUGAGCGGAAUAUGUCAUGUAGCGGUGAAAUGCUUAGAUAUGACAUAGAACACCAAUUGCGAAGGCAGCUCACUACACGGUCAUUGACACUGAGGCACGAAAGCGUGGGGAAUCAAACAGGG